AUCAACUUUCGAUGGUAGGAUAGAGGCCUACCAUGGUGGUAACGGGUAACGGGGUGUUAGGGCACGACACCGGAGAGGGAGCCUGAGAAACGGCUACCACAUCCAAGGAUGGCAGCAGGCGCGCAAAUUACCCAAUCCCGACACGGGGAGGUAGUGACAAUAAAUAACAAUACGGGGUUCUUUCGGAUUUUGUAAUUGGAAUGAGUACAAUUUAAAUCUUUUAACGAGGAACAAUUGGAGGGCAAGUCUGGUGCCAGCAGCCGCGGUAAUUCCAGCUCCAAUAGCGUAUAUUAAAGUUGCUGCAGUUAAAAAGCUCGUAGUUGAAUUUCGGGACCAUCAUGUCGGUCGUGCCUCGGUACGUACUGGUAUCGUUGGUUUCUCCCUUCUGACGAACCAUGAUGUCAUUUAUUUGGUGUCGUGGGAAAUCAGGACUGUUACUUUGAAAAAAUUAGAGUGUUUAAAGCAGGCUCACGCUUGAAUACAUUAGCAUGGAAUAAUGAAAUAGGACGUUUGAUUCUAUUUUGUUGGUUUCUAGGAUUGACGUAAUGAUUAAUAGGGAUAGUUGGGGGCAUUAGUAUUCAAUUGUCAGAGGUGAAAUUCUUGGAUUUAUUGAAGACUAACUACUGCGAAAGCAUUUGCCAAGGAUGUUUUCAUUAAUCAAGAACGAAAGUUAGGGGAUCGAAGACGAUCAGAUACCGUCGUAGUCUUAACCAUAAACUAUGCCGACUAGGGAUCGGAUGAUGUUAAUUUUUUAAUGACUCAUUCGGCGCCUUACGGGAAACCAAAGUGUUUGGGUU
This 797-nucleotide ribosomal RNA is filed under the name Glomeromycotina sp. RNAcentral's name for it is "SSU rRNA". It matches the Rfam family "Eukaryotic small subunit ribosomal RNA", at positions 314 to 1113 of the family's 1831-position model. Lineage: Eukaryota; Fungi; Glomeromycota. The record is from RNAcentral.